Molecule: ribosomal RNA, 439 nt
Filed under: uncultured bacterium
Lineage: Bacteria
Description: partial 16S ribosomal RNA
Rfam family: Bacterial small subunit ribosomal RNA
Source: RNAcentral
CUAUGGGCUGCUCCAGUGGGGAAUAUUGCACAAUGGAGGAAACUCUGAUGCAGCAACGCCGCGUGGAGGAUGACACUUUUCGGAGCGUAAACUCCUUUUAUAUAGGAAGAAGAUGACGGUACUAUAUGAAUAAGCGCCGGCUAACUCCGUGCCAGCAGCCGCGGUAAUACGGAGGGCGCAAGCGUUACUCGGAAUCACUAGGCGUAAAGAGCGUGUAGGCGGAUUAAAAAGUCAGAAGUGAAAUCCUAUAGCUUAACUAUAGAACUGCUUCUGAAACUCUUAAUCUAGAAUAUGGGAGAGGUAGAUGGAAUUUCUGGUGUAGGGGUAAAAUCCGUAGAGAUCAGAAGGAAUACCGAUUGCGAAGGCGAUCUACUAGAACAUUAUUGACGCUGAGACGCGAAAGCGUGGGGAGCAAACAGGAUUAGAUACCCGAGUAGUC